This 1511-nucleotide unclassified non-coding RNA is filed under the name Daphnia pulex (common water flea). Its description in RNAcentral is "uncharacterized LOC124190246, transcript variant X1". Lineage: Eukaryota; Metazoa; Arthropoda; Branchiopoda; Diplostraca; Daphniidae. The record is from RNAcentral.
AACGGGGCAAGUAGGGUAGUGUAUAUGUUGGCACUAUCGAUAUUGAGAUAUGUUUUAAUGAAACCUAAGUAUAGGAAAAAUUCACGCUUAUGCAACCCGAAAAUCUCCAUCGUUUAAAAAAAAAUCAUUAAAAAAGUCCUAAGGGUCCAGUAAUAAAUGAAACAAUUAUUUUGGCGCCUUAAAAUCGUGUCAUCAGCUUUGACAGAUUUUUUCAAUUUACGGGUUUCAGAAAUAGAAUAAAACUUUCAACAAAUAAUAUUCUUGAAGGAAAUUCUUUCCUCUUUCAAUCUGAUAUUUUAGUUUAUUAUUUCUCCUUAGAGGAGUUACUGAAAAAUCAAUUUGAUUAACGACACCUAUUCUUGAGGCAAAAUGGCCUGACAACGUUGGGGCAGUUUGCGCUUUGCGGGUAUAAAAUCUCUGUCGUCUAAUGUCAAAAUGAUGGUUACAUUUUGAAAGCUGUUAAGAAAGUUGUUGCUGAGAAACAAAAAGUAUGUGAUGUUUCCAAAGCAACCUCCAUCCCAAAAAGAUCUCUACUGAGAUAUGUCAAAAAUUUCUUGGCUGCUGGAAUUCAAGAUGAAGCUGAAGCAACUACAAGCAUUGGGGGUUACCAAAAACAUCGUAAGGUUUUCAGCAGCGAACAAGAAAGCAAUCUUAGCAGUUACGUCAAAAGGGCCAGUGACAUUUAUCAUGGAAUCACUACCACAGACAUGAGAAGAUUGGCUUAUCAGUACGCUACCCAAGAAAAAUGUAUUGUCCCUCUUUCUUGGUCGGUCAAGAAGGAAGCUGGAAGAGACUGGCUCUCUGGUUUCAUGAGAAGACGUCAAGACCUUUCAAUCAGAAAACCACAAGCAACAUCUCUAAGCAGAGCUACCAGCUUCAACAAGCAUUACGUUGAUUCCUUCUUUGACAAUGUUGAGGUUGAACUUCAGGUGAGAGAUGCACACUGGUUACAGUCUGCCUUACAGUAUCUGCCACAGAGAAGUCUAUUCCACCAUAUUUUGCCUUUCCACGAGUUCAUUUUAAUGAAUAUUUCCUCAAUGGUGCCCCUCUUAGUUCUGUUGGAUCCGUCAAUAAUUUGGCUGGAUAUGUCAGAAAGAUCGGUCGACUUUGCUCCAUCUUUCGUCACGGAUCGUCCUUUUAAUUCAUAACCAGUCCCAUCUUCAUAGGAAUCCCAGCAUCCAACGAUAACAUCGUCCAAGAAUGCCAAACUCCCGUUCCAGUCCAAAAAGACCAAACUCCAGUUCCAGAGAACCACAUCACGGCCAAUGUUCUUAGUUAUUUUAAUGAUCUUGAUGUCGUGGCCAUUUUAAUUUGUGAUUCUUAAAUAACUCAUGUAUCGUUAUCAUUUCCACCAAUAAUAUACUUUUGAAUCUUAACUUUCUUUCUUUAUUUAUACGUUUUACUGAUGUACCGUCCCUUGGACUGUUAGUCCAUAAGAAUAACAUGGGCUUUCAUGCCCCCAUACAUGGAGCGAAGUGCCCCUUCAACGGGGCAUCUCGUCUUUUAAUUUU